AUUAGAGACCAUGAAUUUGUUAUUGCCAGCAGUCUAAGUGACAGAUUAUGGGAGCAACCUGGGGCCUUCCCACCAACAGGAACGGCCUUCCACCUCCACACCCAGCAACCCACCAGGACUUGCCAAGUGGUUCACAUAAUUUUAAGUCCACAGCUAUAGAGCUGAGUGCUGGUGUGUGCGGUUCAGAUUCUCACUGCACUGAGAGUACCCAGAAGAACAAGUUCACUGGAGUUCAGAGCAGUUAGAUGUGGGAGACUUGACUUGGGCAACCUGAAUGGAGAAAGAGGGAAUAAGGAUGGCUUCCACAGAGCAGAAGGGCCUGCACCAGGAAGAUUGCAGGUGUUAGCCCAGUAUCCCAGUCUGAAGACGUCCGCCCUUUAUCUUUCACAGGGAUUCCCUUGAUAAAUCCCCUGCAAGUCUGAGCCUGUCCUGGCAUCUGCUUCCCAGAGGAUCCAAAUUAACACAGAUAACUUCCAUUUUGUAGGAUGAGAUAAUGAAGUCUACAACCAUCCAAACUCAAAAUCAUCUGUUGUCAAGGAAAUACAGUUUCACAUUGCAGUGGUAAGGACCAUGGGCUUUGGGUAGACCAGGGUGUGAGUCCUACCCACCAGCGGUAUGACCUUUAGGAAAUGUCUUAGCCCGCCCUGACCCUCUAUUUCCUCAUCCGUGGAAUCAGUGAUUCUUAACUGGGAACAAUUUUGUUUCCUCCGGGACAGUUUGCAAUGUCUGGAGAUUUUUUUGGUUGUCACAACUAGGGGGAGGGGAAUGGUUGCAGCUGGCACCUAGUUGGGUAGAAGGCCAGGGACACUGCUAAAUAUCCUACAAUGCACAGAGCAGCCCCUCCAAGACAAAGAUUAUCCAGCCCAAAAUAUCCAUAGUGCAGAGGUUGGAAAACUCUGUGUUAAAUGGGGAUGAUAAUAGUAAACUAACUCAAAGAACUAUUGUGAGGACUCAAUGGGAUCAUGUGUUCAAUAUCCCUCGCCUUCCUUGUAAACUCCACAAGGGCAGGAACCAGAUGAUGUAGAUCAAUGUUCUGUAUCAUCAAUGACUGGAUCAUAAAAGGCGCAAAGUAAAUUAUUAAUUGUUGAAAUAUUUAUCAAAUGAGUGCAAAUCAACAAAUGCUAAUUGUCAUCAUCAUCGUCACCAUUGCCAUCUUUCCAGCCCCUGGCUCAGUGCCUGAGGCGUAACAGGUCCUCAAUCUUUGUUGAAUGAAUGCAUGAGAAAUGAAGGAUUAUUUACUCAUUAACUACUAAUCUGUGUGCUUUGGAGAGAUAUUGGAAACUCUUGAGAAAUAGGCCUGGCCUUUUCCUUUUUAUUUGCAACGAGGAAUUUUGUUCGUCAAAUAAAUGACCUUAAAGGAUUGAGACCGCUGCCAAGCCACAGAAUCGGAGUCGAGAGGCCUGACUCAGAGUCACGGAGAGGUUAGGACACACAUCUUGCAGGGCUUAGGCAAAAAAGGAAAAUGGGCCAGGCUUUGUGCGAACUUGCUGUGAAACAAGAGCUGUUUUCAGGGCUCAGGGAC
This 1522-nucleotide long non-coding RNA is filed under the name Homo sapiens (human). RNAcentral's name for it is "HSALNT0194768". The record is from RNAcentral. Lineage: Eukaryota; Metazoa; Chordata; Mammalia; Primates; Hominidae.